Molecule: ribosomal RNA, 870 nt
Filed under: uncultured archaeon
Lineage: Archaea
Description: bacterial SSU rRNA
Rfam family: Archaeal small subunit ribosomal RNA
Source: RNAcentral
CUCCCGGUUGAUCCCGCCGGACCUGACUGCUAUCGGAUUGGUACUAAGCCAUGCGAGUCAUUGUAGCAAUACAAGGCGGACGGCUCAGUAACACGUAGUCAACCUAACUCGUGGACGUGGAUAACCUCGGGAAACUGAGAAUAAACCACGAUAGACCAUAGUGCCUGGAAUGGCUUAUGGUCCAAACAGUUUACUGCCAUGGGAUGGGACUGCGGCCUAUCAGCUUGUUGGUGAGGUAAUGGCCCACCAAGGCGAUUACAGGUACGGGCUCUGAGAGGAGAAGCCCGGAGAUGGGUACUGAGACACGGACCCAGGCCCUAUGGGGCGCAGCAGGCGAGAAACCUUAGCAAUGUGCGAAAGCACGACUGGGUCAGUCCGAGUGAUUCCUGAUAAAGGAGUCUUUUGCUUGUCCUAAAAGCACAGGUGAAUAAGGGGUGGGCAAGUCUGGUGUCAGCCGCCGCGGUAAUACCAGCACCUCGAGUGGUCAGGACGUUUAUUGGGCCUAAAGCAUCCGUAGCCGGCUUUGCAAGUCUUCGGUUAAAUCCACCUGCUCAACAGAUGGGCUGCUGGAGAUACUACAAAGCUAGGGAGUGGGAGAGGCAGACGGUAUUCAGUGGGUAGGGGUAAAAUCCUCUGAUCCAUUGAGGACCACCAGUGGCGAAGGCGGUCUGCCAGAACACGUUCGACGGUGAGGGAUGAAAGCUGGGGGAGCAAACCGGAUUAGAUACCCGGGUAGUCCCAGCUGUAAACGAUGCAAACUCGGUGAUGCAUUGGCUUAUGGCCAAUGCAGUGCCGCAGGGAAGCCGUUAAGUUUGCCGCCUGGGAAGUACGGACGCAAGUCUGAAACUUAAAGGAAUGGCGGGGGGAGCA